GCAAGUUCCAGUUGGAUUGUGCUAAUGCACAUAUUCAUGAAUCUCUCCAAACAGGAUUCACUGCUCUCCAGGGAACCCUUGAAGUAUGCAUCAUUGUUUCAAUGAAGUAUCUUCAUUAUAAAACAUAGAGCCUAUAAAAGAUUCCUUCCAGACAACCUGAGAUUUAGGGAGUUCCCCUAAUGUGCAUGUUACAAAGAGGCCUUUAUUAGAGAGGACAUGAAUGGAGUUCUGAGAAAGACUACAAAAGCCCGACACUGCAAUUGGGUAUAAUGGGGUGCUUUAUAGGGAAGGAACACUGUCUUUUGGGUAUGAAGGACAGUUUAAUACAACAUCUAUUGCAAGGAAACAAAGGAGUUAUGUAGCUCACAAAUUAGGGUAUUCACAUCUAGAUAUACUAGUGAUGGAGUAUAGAGAACUUGGAAUUCAGUGUAAAAUGAUCUUGUCAUCCAACAUAGUACUCAGUGGAAUGUGGCAUUCCUUGGAUGUAAGUUGUGUAGUCAUCAAAAUAGAUUGUACAAAUCACAAAUAACUGUCACUUUGUGACUCUAUAGCAAUUAGCAACCAAAGAUAGUAAUUCUUAGUGGCACUAAAAAUAAGAUGAGACAUCUAUGAUUAAGCAGGAAGUGAAAAAUGCAAUUCAAGACACUAUAUAUUCCGAUUUUCUUAAGUCUCUCACAGAAAAUUAAUAGAGGAUAAUAUUUUUAAGAGGAAUAAGGGGCAUAGCACAUACAACAUGGAGCCAGUGAUUUAUUGUUGAAGUUUAAGUGAUCACUUCGGACAGUCAAAUCUCAAAUCUUUACUGUCUGACAUGCCAUGAAGUGGUGGAGGGAGUGGAAAUUGAACAAAGAUUCAAGAACACAGCAGCAUGCUAUAGGAACUCUUUAUCUAGUGGACAAGCCAGUAGGCAAACUAUAGUAAUAUUCUCCCUCCUUGCUAUUGAAAUUAGCUAGUUCUAUGUUGCUAAAUCGACUGAAUUAUGUUCCAUCCUUGAUUUACUGUGGUGGUUGCUAACACUUGAUACUGUUGACCACACACUCUCAUUCCUUGGCUUUCCUACCUUUCACCUUCAUAAUUUUGUCCCAACUCAUUUUAGCCACUUUUACAUCCUGUUUCUUAGACUCCUUUUCCUCUGCCUACUCAUUAAGUAGAGGUAUUCCUCUAAGUUCUGUCCUCAACCCUUUGCUUGUCCCAUUCUAAACUUUUCUGGCUGGGUGACCUCAGCUAUUCUUGUGGCUUUAAUUAUCUAUCCUCUGAAGCUGACUCUCCAACCCUAGCCCUGAUCUCCCCCUCUGAGCCCACAGUUAAGGAAGCCCACACUUUCCUGAAAACCACCCAGAUACCCCACAAGCACUCUAAAUUCAGUGGGUCCAAAGCUGAAUGCAUGUUAUCUUCCCCCGUCUCCCACAUUGAACCUAUUAUCUUUCUCCUGUGUUUCCUUAUCUUAAAGUGGUAUCAUCACCCAAACUGUUGCUAAAGUCAGAAAGGUAUGAACCAUUCUUUUCUUUCAUGUCUUACUACCAAUCAGUCUCUAAUUCUUAUCCUAAAUCUACAGAUUUAUCUCCAUCUCCAUUACUACUGCCUUGGUUCAAACCACCAUGAUCUAUCAUUAGGAUUGUUGCAAUACCCUUCUAGCAGAUCUGCUUGUCUCUAGUCAUACUUUCUUCAAAUACUAUCUCCUCAGUGUUCUUUCUAAAAUACAGGUCUGGCUACAAAUACAGAGGUAUAAUGUGUUAUUUAGGGUGAAGGAGAAAGCUAAGAAGAUACAUAACAUUAUGCCUAGUAUGAUCUUGUGAAUAUUCAUCUAAUCCAUGAGCAAAUCCUGCUGGGUUAAAUAAUAUUUUCUGCAUGAAUUAUUGCAAUAGUUUCUGAAUGAUCUCAUAUGUUAGCCCUUAUUAUCCUAGAGUCUAUUUUAAGAGAACAGAGAAAUACUGUUGAUACUUAAGUCAGAUUUUGUUGACCAUCUACUCAAAAGCCUCUAGUGCCUUACAUUUCAGUCAAAGUAAAAUCAAACUCAUAAUGGCCUAAAAGGACCUACACGACAAAGCCCCCUGUGGUGACCUAUCUUACUUCAUCCUCUACCAUUCUUCCUCUAGUUCAUCAGACACUCAACACUUAGCAACAUAAAUGAAGAGAAUUGUAUAGGUUAAUGUCAAGGUGAUCCUGGGACCACUUCCAGGCUCUGCAGCUAGCCAUCUGGCUUGGAACUUUAAGCAAAUUAUUUUAUCUCUCUGAGCAUCAGUUUCUUCAUGUGUAAAACUAGAAUAAAAUGCCCAUUUCAAAGGGUUGUCAAUGGUAUGUAACAAGAUAUAUGCCUGCCAUGUAAAGGUGAUGUAAAAUUUUAUUCUUUUUCUUUAUUCAAUCACCUUUAAAACCAAUUCAAUAAGGAGCUCUUACUUUGAACUAAUACACAUUCUUCUUGAAAACAAAGAGUCAUAAUUAAUUUAUAAAGCUAAUGAUUUGUAUUAUAGUCUAAAGUAGGGAUCGGAUUUCAAAAUAAAUCUUUGUAGUUUAUUUUAUCCUCAG
RNAcentral lists this long non-coding RNA (2523 nucleotides) under Homo sapiens (human). RNAcentral's name for it is "HSALNT0042386". The record is from RNAcentral. Lineage: Eukaryota; Metazoa; Chordata; Mammalia; Primates; Hominidae.